GCGGGGCGGAGGUUCCGCUCUGGCGCCCAACCGCCCCCGCGCGGGGGCUGGAGGCGGCCAUAGCGGUGUGCGGCGAGGGCGGGAGGGCUCCUGCCGCCCCCUCCUCCCGGAGGUGGGGAUGGCAGCGCCUUCUUCCGAGAGGGGCUCACAGGCUCUCCGGGAAGGCGCCUGAGGGAGCACCCUCCUUCUGCAACUUCUUCGCUCCAGGGCGGGACGGGCUUUUCGCCGCGCUAGGCCGCAGCCGGCGGUGCGAGUGAGGACCCAGGGCCGAGGCCUUGUCCUUGUCCGGUCGAACAUGACCAACCCGCUCGACUGGGAGUGUCUGAAGCUGCUGCCGCUGGAAGCGCUGCGUGUGAGUGAGACACCAAUGACAAACUUGAAUGUGAACAAUGAAAAGAAUUUUGUGAGAAGAAGUCUAGAGAGGCGUCGAUUUGAUCAGUCCUUGGUUUAUUUAACCCGAAAAUUCAUGGAUCUUGUCAAAGCAGCUCCAGAUGGUGUCCUUGAUUUAAAUGAAGUAGCAACAAUGCUUGGAGUACGAAAGCGAAGAGUGUAUGACAUCACCAAUGUGUUGGAGGGAAUCGACUUAAUUCGGAAAAGAUCCAAGAAUGUUAUCCAGUGGAUAGGUUCUAAUCUUGACCAUGUUGUUAGAAAACCACCAGAGCAAGAAAGCCUUGAAGAUGAACUUUCUGAAUUGUCAUCCAUGGAAGAAGCUCUGGAUGAAUUAAUCAAGGAAUGUGCUCGUCAGUUAUUUGAACUGACAGAUGACAAAGAAACUGCAAAACUAGCUUAUGUGACAUACCAAGAUAUCCGUAGCAUUCAAACAUUUCAGGAACAGAUUGUGAUUGCAAUCAAAGCUCCAGAGGAAACCAUACUGGAAAUACCAAUUCCUAAAGAGGAUUGCAUAGAAGUACACGUGAAGAGCACAAAAGGACCCAUUGAUGUGUAUCUAUGUGAGGUGGAACAAGGGAAGUCAGGUGCCAAAACUUGUGAAGAUAUGGAUACUGUCACUUCUGAAACUGAGCCAUCAGUUCCUCCCAUGGAAGUGAGAUCUCCGGGGGAAGAGAAAAUCAAUCCACUUGAGAUGGCAGAUUGAUUACAACUCAGAAAUCUUAUACAGAAUGUAAAUAUCUGUGUUACAGAGCUUUUCUAGAGCUGCUUGGAUUUGCAAACUUAAUAACAUGAAAUGUUGCCAAGUGUUGUUUUACAUUUAAAACAGCAGUGGCUUGGUUAAGUGCUUUCACAGCAUCACAGAAUGGUUUUGGUUCGAAGAAAUCUUAAACAUCAUCUAGUUCCAACCCCCCUGCAGUGGGUAGGAAUACCUUCCCACCUCCUUCACAAGAUUGCUUAUCUUUCCAAUUCAGAAGAUAACACAGAAUUGCUCUUAGGAGCUUUGUUUUCAUAACCAGAAAAUCACAGAAUCUGAAGGGUUGGAAGCGACUUCUGGAGAUCGUGUAGUCCGACUGCUCUGCCAGCGCAGGGGUUCACCUAGAGUAGGUUGCCCAGGAAGCCGUCCAGGGUCCAUUGCUGGACUCAGGGUCAUCCUUUUCUCCACCAGGACUCUCAGGUCUUUUUCCACAGAGCUGCUUUCAAGCAGGUCAGCCCCCAGCCUGUACUGGUGCAUGGGGUUUCUCCCUAGGUGCAGUACCCUACCCUUUCUGCCCAGUUUUCCAGCCUGUCCAGGUCAUGCUGGAUGGCAGAACCAUGGGCUGGUGUCAGCCACCCCACCCAAUUUUGUAUCAUCAGUAAAUUUGUUGAUCAUAAUUGCAUGUAAUGUUCAGAGCUUUGGGGUAAUGAUAUCUUUAGCUGAUGAAAUAGUUUUAAUUGACAGAAAUGAAAAAUUGAAAAUAUGUUUGUUUAUCCUAUAUCCAGGGAUAAAAUGAAGCAGUUUGCUCACUUUCCCAGUGACCCCCAUCCCAGCUGAGAAGAAUCAGGAAGAGAAGUCCCAUUGGUUGAAAUACAUCUGGAUUGAAUGAAAUGACAAAGUAGUAGUGGGAGCAGCAGGCCCAGAGGGAAGAGCCCUGGGAAAUGCAACUCCUCACCCUCAGCACAGCUCUCCCUCUGUCAUGAGCAUGAGAAGUGGUGUGGGAUACACUUGUCAGAUAGCUGGGGGCAGAUACACUGAUGUAAGCUUUCACUUGACUUGGGGCUGCUACUGUUCUGCCCUCCAUGGCUGACCUAUGAUUCUGUCCCAGUGAAACCUGGAUAAACUAUUUCUCAAACCUCCCAUGAUCCUUAAGAGAAUGUAUAUAAUAAAGAAAUGCACUUUUUAGUUCUGAGGCUGGGCUACCACUAAGCAGGAUUGUCAAGUACAAAUGUAACAAAGAACUGGUGUAUUGGAAACCUUCACUACAAGGAACAAGAUGUAUAUAUACAUGAGAGGUAUGCCUUACCCUGUAUAGAUGCUGUUUGCAUUGUUUGCAGCCAGCUCUGCAUGAGCUAUGGUGUCAAUACUGACAUUAAAUAAUCGGGCUUUUUGUAAAUAUGUGUAUCAUGUCUACGUAGUUAUUUAUGUAGAUUCACUGAGAUGGUUUGCAUUUCUGCCUUUGUACAGCAAUUAAAUAAAAUAAGCAUAUAAAACUAUUAAAGCUUUUAAAA
Calypte anna (Anna's hummingbird) is the source of this 2595-nucleotide RNA transcript. It is a transcript of the gene named transcription factor E2F6, with no coding region annotated. The record is from RefSeq and is a predicted model, not a curated record. Lineage: Eukaryota; Metazoa; Chordata; Aves; Apodiformes; Trochilidae. The transcript is spliced from 8 exons.